GCAGACACAUUCCAGCCAAUCAGCAGCAGACCCUCCCUCCCAGACCCUCCCACCUCCUGGACAGCAUUCAUUGUGAAGCUGCAUUCUUAGUGAGCUGUCCAGGAGGUGGGAGGGUCUGGGAGGGAGGGUCUGCUGCUGAUUGGCUGGAAUGUGUCUG
Molecule: non-coding RNA, 157 nt
Organism: Pelobates cultripes (western spadefoot toad)
Lineage: Eukaryota; Metazoa; Chordata; Amphibia; Anura; Pelobatidae
Source: the annotation of a GenBank genome assembly